GACGAACGCUGGCGGCGUGCUUAACACAUGCAAGUCGAACGGAAAGGCCCUGCUUUUGUGGGGUGCUCGAGUGGCGAACGGGUGAGUAACACGUGAGUAACCUGCCCUUGACUUUGGGAUAACUUCCGGAAACUGGGGCUAAUACCGGAUAGGAGCUCCUGCUGCAUGGGGGGGGUGGGAAAGUGUCGGCGGUGGGGGAUGGACUCGCGGCUUAUCAGCGUGUUGGUGGGGUGGUGGCGUACCAAGGCUUUGACGGGUAGCCGGCCGGUGAGGGUGACCGGCCACAUUGGCACUGAGAUACGCCGCAGACACCUGCGGGAGGCAGUAGUGGGGAAGAUUGCACAAUGGGCGGAAGCGUGAUGCAGCAACGCCGCGUGUGGGAUGACGGCCUUUGUGUUGUAAACCGUUUUCGCCUGUGACGAAGCGUGAGGGAGGGUAAUGGGUAAAGAAGCACCGCUAACCUCCGU
This 467-nucleotide ribosomal RNA is filed under the name uncultured bacterium. Its description in RNAcentral is "partial 16S ribosomal RNA". It matches the Rfam family "Bacterial small subunit ribosomal RNA", at positions 28 to 506 of the family's 1533-position model. The record is from RNAcentral.